RNAcentral lists this ribosomal RNA (1365 nucleotides) under Campylobacter jejuni. Its description in RNAcentral is "bacterial SSU rRNA". It matches the Rfam family "Bacterial small subunit ribosomal RNA", at positions 60 to 1438 of the family's 1533-position model. The record is from RNAcentral. Lineage: Bacteria; Pseudomonadati; Campylobacterota; Epsilonproteobacteria; Campylobacterales; Campylobacteraceae.
AGUCGAACGAUGAAGCUUCUAGCUUGCUAGAAGUGGAUUAGUGGCGCACGGGUGAGUAAGGUAUAGUUAAUCUGCCCUACACAAGAGGACAACAGUUGGAAACGACUGCUAAUACUCUAUACUCCUGCUUAACACAAGUUGAGUAGGGAAAGUUUUUCGGUGUAGGAUGAGACUAUAUAGUAUCAGCUAGUUGGUAAGGUAAUGGCUUACCAAGGCUAUGACGCUUAACUGGUCUGAGAGGAUGAUCAGUCACACUGGAACUGAGACACGGUCCAGACUCCUACGGGAGGCAGCAGUAGGGAAUAUUGCGCAAUGGGGGAAACCCUGACGCAGCAACGCCGCGUGGAGGAUGACACUUUUCGGAGCGUAAACUCCUUUUCUUAGGGAAGAAUUCUGACGGUACCUAAGGAAUAAGCACCGGCUAACUCCGUGCCAGCAGCCGCGGUAAUACGGAGGGUGCAAGCGUUACUCGGAAUCACUGGGCGUAAAGGGCGCGUAGGCGGAUUAUCAAGUCUCUUGUGAAAUCUAAUGGCUUAACCAUUAAACUGCUUGGGAAACUGAUAGUCUAGAGUGAGGGAGAGGCAGAUGGAAUUGGUGGUGUAGGGGUAAAAUCCGUAGAUAUCACCAAGAAUACCCAUUGCGAAGGCGAUCUGCUGGAACUCAACUGACGCUAAGGCGCGAAAGCGUGGGGAGCAAACAGGAUUAGAUACCCUGGUAGUCCACGCCCUAAACGAUGUACACUAGUUGUUGGGAUGCUAGUCAUCUCAGUAAUGCAGCUAACGCAUUAAGUGUACCGCCUGGGGAGUACGGUCGCAAGAUUAAAACUCAAAGGAAUAGACGGGGACCCGCACAAGCGGUGGAGCAUGUGGUUUAAUUCGAAGAUACGCGAAGAACCUUACCUGGGCUUGAUAUCCUAAGAACCUUAUAGAGAUAUGAGGGUGCUAGCUUGCUAGAACUUAGAGACAGGUGCUGCACGGCUGUCGUCAGCUCGUGUCGUGAGAUGUUGGGUUAAGUCCCGCAACGAGCGCAACCCACGUAUUUAGUUGCUAACGGUUCGGCCGAGCACUCUAAAUAGACUGCCUUCGUAAGGAGGAGGAAGGUGUGGACGACGUCAAGUCAUCAUGGCCCUUAUGCCCAGGGCGACACACGUGCUACAAUGGCAUAUACAAUGAGACGCAAUACCGCGAGGUGGAGCAAAUCUAUAAAAUAUGUCCCAGUUCGGAUUGUUCUCUGCAACUCGAGAGCAUGAAGCCGGAAUCGCUAGUAAUCGUAGAUCAGCCAUGCUACGGUGAAUACGUUCCCGGGUCUUGUACUCACCGCCCGUCACACCAUGGGAGUUGAUUUCACUCGAAGCCGGAAUACUAA